AUAAUACUCCAUAGAUUAGAGACACUGGAAUGUUCUUUAGUCGAAAGCUCUGGCGCCUUAGGAUGGAUCUGCGGUCGAUUAGGUUGUUGUUGGGGUAACGGCCCAACAAGCCUGUAAUCGAUACGGGUUGUGGGAGCAAGAGCCCGGAGAUGGAAUCUGAGACACGAUUCCAGGCCCUACGGGGCGCAGCAGGCGCGAAAACUUUACAAUGCAGGAAACUGUGAUAAGGGAACUCCGAGUGCCCGUAUACGCGGGCUGUCCAGGUGUUUAAAAAUCAUCUGAAGAAAGGGCCGGGCAAGACCGGUGCCAGCCGCCGCGGUAAUACCGGCGGCUCGAGUGGUGGCCACUAUUAUUGGGCUUAAAGCGUCCGUAGCUGGACCGAUAAGUCUCUUGGGAAAUCCGCCGGCUCAACCGGCGGGCGUCUAAGGGAUACUGUUAGUCUAGGGACCGGGAGAGGUGAGAGGUACUCCGGGGGUAGGAGUGAAAUCCUGUAAUCCCCGGGGGACCACCGAUGGCGAAGGCAUCUCACCAGAACGGCUCCGACAGUGAGGGACGAAAGCUGGGGGAGCGAACCGGAUUAGAUACCCGGGUAGUCCCAGCCGUAAACUAUGCGCGUUAGGUGU
RNAcentral lists this ribosomal RNA (623 nucleotides) under uncultured archaeon. RNAcentral describes it as "bacterial SSU rRNA". It matches the Rfam family "Archaeal small subunit ribosomal RNA", at positions 146 to 774 of the family's 1478-position model. The record is from RNAcentral.